Non-coding RNA from Brachypodium distachyon (stiff brome), 126 nucleotides. Lineage: Eukaryota; Viridiplantae; Streptophyta; Magnoliopsida; Poales; Poaceae. The record is from Rfam.
UUGAUACUCCCUCCAUCCCAUAUUAAGUGUCGAAAUAUUACAUGUAUCUAGACGCGUUUUAGUGUGUAGAUGCAUCCAUAUUUAGACAAAUUUAAGACACUUAAUAUGGGACGGAGGGAGUACAUA